This is a non-coding RNA of Odocoileus virginianus texanus, 1943 nucleotides long. The record is from RefSeq and is a predicted model, not a curated record. Lineage: Eukaryota; Metazoa; Chordata; Mammalia; Artiodactyla; Cervidae.
UGGCCCAGAAGGCACACAAAAGAACACAAACAUGUUAUGCAUACAUACACACAGCAUCUAAUCAAGUCUUUUGUCAACAGCAAUUUUAGGACUGGUCAUCAUCAAAUGAUUUGGAUGAUUUGCCAAGAGAAUUGAGAACUCAUUCAUGAUAAUGACCAGGAGUGUACCAGGAGUGCCAAACCAAGAAAGCCUGCUGAAUCACACACCCCUGCCUUCGGGUCCCAGUAAAUCCUCCACGCUGCACCGCCAUCCACAGUCACCAUCAGAGCACCAGGACCAAGAACAUGGUUUGAGGUCAGACCCUGGCUCGGCCACAUGUUGAUGCAUGCCAGGAGUUGCUGACAGUCAUCUUGCCACCCUGAGAGAAGACCUUCUUGAAGAUGGAGCCAUCACAGACAGAAGAACGAAGAGAUGGAGAAACAGCAAGGGCCAGGGAUCUCGUUUGAUCACUGGAUCCAGCCACGCCUGAAUCUAAUGUAUCCUUGCACUUAGAGGCAGUAUCAUUUCUCUGCAAAAAUAUAGGGAAGCCUAACCAACAGAUUGUUCACUCAAAUUAUUGCUAUGACAAGUGAAGAGAAGAGAUAAAUCUCGAGGGGCUCAAUUUUCAUAUCUUAUGGCAAUCAAGCUGGGUGAGACAUUUCCAUUCAAGUGCUAUGGACAUGCCCUGCUCCCUGGGACCCUAUACCCUUUUCUACCAAGCUACUCCCAUCUAAGAGCUAAACCCAUAACUUGGGACUCACCACAGGCAGGAUAAUGAGCACAUCCAUCGCUCCCCCAAACGCCCUCAUGCCCCUGUAUCAUCCUUUCACCCCUCUUGCCCCCACCACACAACCCCUCAUCCACUUUCUGUUGCCGUACAUUAGUUUUCACCUUCUGGAAUAUUCUGUAAAUGGAUUCUUACACCAUGUACUCUUUUUUUUGGGGGGGGGCUGGUUUCUUUCACUCAGUAUUAUUAUUUUGAAAUUCAUUUACAUUGUUGUGUAUAUCAAAACAGUUUCUUUUUAAAAUCACUGAAUAGUAUUUCAAUGUGCCACAAUGUGUUUAUCUGUUUAUUUGCUCAUGGACAUUUGAGUUCUUUCUAAGUUUAGGACUAUUAAAAAAUAAAGCCGCUGUGAUAUUUUUGGACAAGGUUUUGUAUGAACAAAGCCUUCCCUUUCUCUUGGGUAAAUACAUAGGAGUGGUAUGGAUGAGUCAUAUGGUAGCUGUAUAUUAAAUUUUUUAAGACACUCUCCAAGUAUUCUUCCAAAGUAGUCCUACCGACUUUACAUCUGCAUCAGCAGCAUGUGAGAAAGAGUUGCAGUAGGUCCUCCCCAACACGUGCUGUGGCCACUGUUUCAUUUUAGCCAUUCUAAUAGGUGCCUAGCAGUAUCGCAUUGUGCUUUUCACUCGCAUUUCUCUAGUGACUAAUAAUAUCUGGCAUCUUUUCUUGUACUUAUUUGCCAUCUGUGUAUCUUCUGUUUUUUUGAUGAAGUCUGUUCAAAUCUUUGGCCCCUUUUUAAAAUCUAUUUUUCAUUGUGUGUUUACUUUUGACUGCGCUGGAUCUUCAUUGCUGAGCAUGGGCUUUCUCUGGCUCUGGCGCGUGGGGCUGUGCCCCAGCUGUGGGUGCGUGGGCUUCUCAAUUCACUGGCUUCUCUUGUUGCAGCCCAUGGGCUUAGGGCACAGGCUCGGGAGAUGUGGCACGCAGGCUUGGCUGCCUUUUGACAUAUGGAAUCCUCCCGGAUCAGGGACUGAACCCAUGUCCCCUGCACUUGCAGGCAGAUUCUUAACCACUGGACCACCAAGGAAGUCCUGGUCCAUUUUUUAUAUUGACUGUUUACUUUCUGGAUGUUAAGUUUUGAGAUUCAUUAUAUUUUUCUGUAUCAGAUUUGCAAAUACUGACUCUGUCUGUGGUUUGUGUUUUCAAGAGAAGAGUCUUUUGAAGAGAAGAGGUUCUUAAUUUUGAU